CCUACGGGUGGCAGCAGUGAGGAAUAUUGGUCAAUGGGCGAAAGCCUGACCCAGCCAAGUCGCGUGAGGGAAGACGGCCCUACGGGUUGUAAACCUCGUUUGCCGGGGAGCAAGCCUGAGCACGUGUGCCCAGGCGGAGAGUACCCGGAGAAAAAGCAUCGGCAAACUCCGUGCCAGCAGCCGAGGUCAUACGUAGGAUGCGAGCGUUAGCCGGAUUGAUUGGGUUUAAGGGGUGCGCAGGCGGUCUGUUAAGCCGGCGGUAAAAAUUCAGGGCUCAACCCUGUCGUGCCGUAGGAACUGGCAGUCUUGAGUGGGCGAGAAGUAUGCGGAAUGCGUGGUGUAGCGGUGAAAUGCAUAGAUAUCACGCAGAACGCCGAUUGCGAAGGCAGCAUACCGGCGCCCAACUGACGCUGAGGCACGAAAGCGUGGGGAUCGAACAGGAUUAGAUACCCCGGUAGUC
Molecule: ribosomal RNA, 460 nt
Filed under: uncultured bacterium
Lineage: Bacteria
Description: partial 16S ribosomal RNA
Rfam family: Bacterial small subunit ribosomal RNA
Source: RNAcentral